Erinaceus europaeus (western European hedgehog) is the source of this 1152-nucleotide long non-coding RNA. RefSeq lists it as uncharacterized. The transcript has 3 exons. Lineage: Eukaryota; Metazoa; Chordata; Mammalia; Eulipotyphla; Erinaceidae. The record is from RefSeq and is a predicted model, not a curated record.
UUUCAGUUCAGUUACGUUCGUAAGGACAUUCUCCCCCCACUGGAUGAUGCAGCUUCUGAGAACAAGACCCUGUACUCGAGACUGACACGGGAAAAGGACCCUAGUUUUUCAGGGUUAUUUUUUGCUACACAGCACUGCAUGUCUGGGUGCAUCACUGUAGACUCGUCACUGUUCCCAUGAUGGACGUUAUCUAAGUGGGUUCUCCAUUUUCUUGUUAGACCGUCCACUUUGAUGCAGUCUUGAUGCCCAGCUCUGACGACCUGUACAGCUCUGCUCGGCCCAUCCGGCUCUGUGCUGUCCACGCAGGCAUGCGGAUUUCACAGUCCCGGACGGAGUCUUUCAUUUCCCCAUCUCCCACUCGUUUACCAACUUGAAGGGGGAAAUGCUAAGCAAGGGAGGGAAGGUGGCAGAGAGCCUUGCCUGUCCCGCUCUGCCCAAGGCUCCCGCCAGCUGGAUUAAAGUGUCCCGUCUCUGACCAGCAGGGGGCGCCAAGAGCCUGUCGUGCAUGGCGAGAGCCAGCCGCGGCCUCCAAGGACCUCGCUCCCGCGCGGCCCCUAAAAUGAUGGCAUCGGACUCAGUCCCAGCGCCCCGGUCAUUUCAUAGAUGUGGGUGGAAGAGCUGGAGCAGAAUUUGAAUUCAAAGCCGUGUGACUGUGGGGCCCCUGGCCUGUGCACAGUGUCUGUUCCAUUGGUGCAGGACGAAGGACUGGCAGCUCCGGAACAAGAUGAGGCGGAGUAAGAAGCCAGUGCUGGACAUUUGAGCUGCUUUAGUGUCCAGGUACCAAGAGCACUGGCAGUCAAAUACAACGGUUAAUGAAAUGUGGGUGGGCAUCUAAGUUCUCUUUCUAGGCGCCAGGUGGCUCAAGCUCCUGGGCCCACCUACUGGGAGGAAGCUUCCAAGGGAAGUAGUGCUGCAGGUGACUCCUACUCUCUCCCUACUUCCCCUCCCCUCCCCUCCCCUCUCAAAUUCUCUGUCUCUGUCCAAUAAAUAAUAAAAAAAAUUAUUAAAGGGGUUGGGCUGGGCAUGCACAAGGAUCUGGGUUCAAGUCCCCUGUCCCCACCUGCAGGAAGCUUAGUAAGUUUUAAAACAGUACUGCAGAUGUCUCUCUUUAUCCCUCCCUGUUUCCCUCUUCCCCUCAGUAUCUGUCUUUAU